GAUGAACGCUGGCGGCGUGCCUAAUACAUGCCAGUCGAGCGAACGGACGAGAAGCUUGCUUCUCUGAUGUUAGCGGCGGACGGGUGAGUAACACGUGGAUAACCUACCUAUAAGACUGGGAUAACUUCGGGAAACCGGAGCUAAUACCGGAUGAUAUUUUGAACCGCAUGGUUCAAAAGUGAAAGACGGUCUUGCUGUCACUUAUAGAUGGAUCCGCGCUGCAUUAGCUAGUUGGUAAGGUAACGGCUUACCAAGGCAACGAUGCAUAGCCGACCUGAGAGAGUGAUCGGCCACACUGGAACUGAGACACGGUCCAGACUCCUACGGGAGGCAGCAGUAGGGAAUCUUCCGCAAUGGGCGAAAGCCUGACGGAGCAACGCCGCGUGAGUGAUGAAGGUCUUCGGAUCGUAAAACUCUGUUAUUAGGGAAGAACAUAUGUGUAAGUAACUGUGCACAUCUUGACGGUACCUAAUCAGAAAGCCACGGCUAACUACGUG
RNAcentral lists this ribosomal RNA (497 nucleotides) under uncultured bacterium. RNAcentral's name for it is "partial 16S ribosomal RNA". It matches the Rfam family "Bacterial small subunit ribosomal RNA", at positions 28 to 507 of the family's 1533-position model. The record is from RNAcentral.